CCGCCUAUAGCUCAGUUGGUAGAGCAGUCGCCUCUUAAGCGAACGGUCAUAGGUUCAAAUCCUAUUAGGCGGA
This 73-nucleotide transfer RNA is filed under the name Arenimonas sp. RNAcentral's name for it is "tRNA-Lys". It matches the Rfam family "tRNA". Rfam says of the family: Transfer RNA (tRNA) molecules are approximately 80 nucleotides in length. Lineage: Bacteria; Pseudomonadati; Pseudomonadota; Gammaproteobacteria; Lysobacterales; Lysobacteraceae. The record is from RNAcentral. RNAcentral also lists the same sequence under 1 other name.